GUUCACCUCGGAUCAGGUAGGAGUUACCCGCUGAACUUAAGCAUAUCAAUAAGCGGAGGAAAAGAAUCCAACCGGGAUUGCCUCAGUAACGGCGAGUGAAGCGGCAAGAGCUCAAAUUUGAAAUACAUGGCCCCUCGGGGUCCGAGUUGUAAUUUGCAGAGGAUGCUUCGGAGUGCGG
RNAcentral lists this ribosomal RNA (178 nucleotides) under Penicillium sp. CLF-R. RNAcentral describes it as "partial 28S rRNA". It matches the Rfam family "Eukaryotic large subunit ribosomal RNA", at positions 1 to 174 of the family's 3401-position model. The record is from RNAcentral. Lineage: Eukaryota; Fungi; Ascomycota; Eurotiomycetes; Eurotiales; Aspergillaceae.